GGCUGGUCCAAUGGUAGCAGGUUACCAGAACUCAUUAACAUUAGUGUCACUAAAGUUAGUAUACUGCCCCCCAUUGCUAAAUUUGAGUGUCUUAA
RNAcentral lists this non-coding RNA (95 nucleotides) under Aotus nancymaae (Ma's night monkey). Lineage: Eukaryota; Metazoa; Chordata; Mammalia; Primates; Aotidae. The record is from RNAcentral.